AUGACGAGAGCUUGCUCUUGUUGAUGGCGACCGGCGCACGGGUGCGUAACGCGUAUCCAACCUGCCGUUUACCCGGGGACAGCCUUGCGAAAGUAAGAUUAAUACCCGAUGUUGUGCGGAAUCCGCAUGGUUUUUGCACCAAAGGUUCAUUCCGGUAAGCGAUGGGGAUGCGUACGAUUAGCUAGUCGGCGGGGUGACGGCCCACCGAGGCGACGAUCGUUAGGGGUUCUGAGAGGAUGGCCCCCCACACUGGUACUGAGACACGGACCAGACUCCUACGGGAGGCAGCAGUGAGGAAUAUUGGUCAAUGGGCGCGAGCCUGAACCAGCCAAGUAGCGUGCAAGGGAGGACUGCCUUACAGGUUGUAAACUGCUUUUAUGGCGGGGGUUAAAGUUUGGCACGUGUGCCAUUUUGCAAGUACCGCAUGAAUAAGGACCGGCUAAUUCCGUGCCAGCAGCGGC
Molecule: ribosomal RNA, 461 nt
Filed under: uncultured bacterium
Lineage: Bacteria
Description: bacterial SSU rRNA
Rfam family: Bacterial small subunit ribosomal RNA
Source: RNAcentral